RNAcentral lists this microRNA precursor (461 nucleotides) under Malus domestica (apple). Its description in RNAcentral is "miR10989a stem-loop (mdm-MIR10989a)". Lineage: Eukaryota; Viridiplantae; Streptophyta; Magnoliopsida; Rosales; Rosaceae. The record is from miRBase by way of RNAcentral.
AGCCAAGAUGAGGAAAGAGGAAGAUAGCAAACUGCUUAAGGUGCCACUGUGGCAUAGAAAACACCAUUGUCAUCCUCAAGGAUUUGUCCAAAUGUGCAAGAAGUGGUAUCUAUCAAUUCUGCAACAAAAAAGGCCUUAAUGUCGAGAAGGUCAAGGUCAUGCCCACCGAUGUAAGGAUCGACUGAUAUUGAAAGCUUUGGUGGCUCCCCAUUAUCUACUGACAACCCAUAGAUAGAUAAUGGGGAGCCAACAAAGCUUUUAAUAUCAGUCGAUCCUCACACUGGCGGAUAAGACCUUGAACUCAUCGACAUCAAGGCCUUUCUUUUCGCAGAAUUGAUGGAUGACAUUUCUUGCGCAUUUGGACAAAUCCUUGAGGAUGUCAACGGUAUUUCUGUGCCACAGUGGCACCUUAGGCAGCUUGUUCUCUUCCUCUCUCUUUAACUGGGCUUCUAGCUUCGUUU